RNAcentral lists this ribosomal RNA (407 nucleotides) under uncultured bacterium. Its description in RNAcentral is "partial 16S ribosomal RNA". It matches the Rfam family "Bacterial small subunit ribosomal RNA", at positions 30 to 526 of the family's 1533-position model. The record is from RNAcentral.
AUUGAACGCUGGCGGCAGGCCUAACACAUGCAAGUCGAGCGGCUCGCCGGACGGGUGAGUAAGACCAAGGUAUCGGCCUGGUCGUGGGGGACAAGGCUCGGAACCGGACGCUAUUGCCACACACUUGCAAGGUCGCCUAGGUCGGAGUUGCUGGUUGGUGAGGUAAUGGCUCACCAAGGCCACGAGCCUGAACUGGUCUGAGUGGAUGAUCAGUCACACUGGAACUGAGACACGGCCCAGACUCCUACGGGAGGCAGCAGGGGGGAAUAUGGGACAAUGGGCGAAAGCCUGAUCCAGCCAUGCCGCGUGUGUGAAGAAGGUCUUCGGAUUGUAAAGCACUUUAAGUUGGGAGGCGUUACCGACAGAAUAAGCACCGGCUAACUCUGUGCCAGCAGCCGCGGUAAUUC